UACAGAGGUCUCAAGCGUUGUUCGGAAUCACUGGGCGUAAAGCGCACGUAGGCGGACGUGUCAGUCAGGGGUGAAAUCCCGGAGCUCAACUUCGGAACUGCCUUUGAUACAGCACGUCUUGAGUCCGGAAGAGGUGGGUGGAAUUCCUAGUGUAGAGGUGAAAUUCGUAGAUAUUAGGAAGAACACCGGUGGCGAAGGCGGCCCACUGGUCCGGUACUGACGCUGAGGUGCGAAAGCGUGGGGAGCAAACAGG
RNAcentral lists this ribosomal RNA (253 nucleotides) under uncultured bacterium. RNAcentral describes it as "partial 16S ribosomal RNA". It matches the Rfam family "Bacterial small subunit ribosomal RNA", at positions 524 to 776 of the family's 1533-position model. The record is from RNAcentral.